CGCUGGCGGCAGGCUUAACACAUGCAAGUCGAACGNAGGCUUCGGCCUUAGUGGCGCACGGGNGAGUAACACGUGGGAAUAUACCUCUCGGUGGGGAAUAACGUCGGGAAACUGACGCUAAUACCGCAUACGCCCUUAGGGGGAAAGAUUUAUCGCCGAGAGAUUAGCCCGCGUCCGAUUAGCUAGUUGGUGAGGUAAAAGCUCACCAAGGCGACGAUCGGUAGCUGGUCUGAGAGGAUGAUCAGCCACACUGGGACUGAGACACGGCCCAGACUCCUACGGGAGGCAGCAGUGGGGAAUAUUGGACAAUGGGCGCAAGCCUGAUCCAGCCAUGCCGCGUGAGUGAUGAAGGCCUUAGGGUUGUAAAGCUCUUUCGACGGGGACNAUGAUGACGGUACCCGUAGAAGAAGCCCCGGCUAACUUCGUGC
This 428-nucleotide ribosomal RNA is filed under the name Magnetospirillum fulvum. RNAcentral describes it as "bacterial SSU rRNA". It matches the Rfam family "Bacterial small subunit ribosomal RNA", at positions 34 to 508 of the family's 1533-position model. The record is from RNAcentral. Lineage: Bacteria; Pseudomonadati; Pseudomonadota; Alphaproteobacteria; Rhodospirillales; Rhodospirillaceae.